This 254-nucleotide ribosomal RNA is filed under the name uncultured bacterium. RNAcentral describes it as "partial 16S ribosomal RNA". It matches the Rfam family "Bacterial small subunit ribosomal RNA", at positions 524 to 776 of the family's 1533-position model. The record is from RNAcentral.
UACGUAGGACCCAAGCGUUAUCCGGAGUGACUGGGCGUAAAGAGUUGCGUAGGCGGUUAGUAAAGCGAAGAGUGAAAGAUGAUGGCUCAACCAUCAGAACAUUUUUCGAACUCACUAACUCGAGAAUGGUAGAGGUAGCUGGAAUUUCUAGUGUAGGAGUGAAAUCCGUAGAUAUUAGAAGGAACACCAAUGGCGUAGGCAGGCUACUGGACCAUUUCUGACGCUGAGGCACGAAAGCGUGGGGAGCGAACCGG